CGUGUGGUAUUCGGCAUAAGAUCGGAUGGCGAUGCGGCCCAAUUGAGGU
This is a regulatory RNA element of 49 nucleotides. It matches the Rfam family "L31-Gammaproteobacteria ribosomal protein leader". The record is from Rfam.